This 468-nucleotide ribosomal RNA is filed under the name uncultured bacterium. Its description in RNAcentral is "partial 16S ribosomal RNA". It matches the Rfam family "Bacterial small subunit ribosomal RNA", at positions 28 to 507 of the family's 1533-position model. The record is from RNAcentral.
GACGAACGCUGGCGGCGUGCUUAACACAUGCAAGUCGAACGGAAAGGCCCUGCUUUUGUGGGGUGCUCGAGUGGCGAACGGGUGAGCAACACGUGAGUAACCUGCCCUUGACUUUGGGAUAACUUCAGGAAACUGGGGCUAAUACCGGAUAGGAGCUCCUGCUGCUUGGUGGGGGUUGGAAAGUUUCGGCGGUUGGGGAUGGACUCGCGGCUUAUCAGCUUGUUGGUGGGGUAGUGGCUUACCAAGGCUUUGACGGGUAGCCGGCCUGAGAGGGUGACCGGCCACAUUGGGACUGAGAUACGGCCCAGACUCCUACGGGAGGCAGCAGUGGGGAAUAUUGCACAAUGGGCGGAAGCCUGAUGCAGCAACGCCGCGUGCGGGAUGACGGCCUUCGGGUUGUAAACCGCUUUCGCCUGUGACGAAGCGUGAGUGACGGUAAUGGGUAAAGAAGCACCGGCUAACUACGUG